AAAAAGAUAAGCUAAAGUAAGCUAUUAGGUUCAUACCCUAAAUAUAGAACAAAAUUCUUCUUUUUA
RNAcentral lists this transfer RNA (66 nucleotides) under Orosius orientalis. RNAcentral's name for it is "tRNA-Met". The record is from RNAcentral. Lineage: Eukaryota; Metazoa; Arthropoda; Insecta; Hemiptera; Cicadellidae.